Molecule: long non-coding RNA, 1407 nt
Filed under: Felis catus (domestic cat)
Lineage: Eukaryota; Metazoa; Chordata; Mammalia; Carnivora; Felidae
Description: lncRNA (ENSFCAG00000048629.1)
Source: RNAcentral
AUUUAUCUGGAAUUUGUCAGAUUGAAUGUUUUAAGAUAUCUUUUUGGCAUCCUUUGGUAGAAGCUUUAUAAAGUAAAAGCUUUGUUAUCUUAGAUUUCUCAACCAACUGUCUGCCAUUAACUGCAAACAAGAUGUAUGGACUAAACAUGGAGGCGGGUUCGAGAAUCUGAGCCUAUCUGAGAGAAGUAUUUUAGCUCAUUACCGAAGUAAAUUAGAACUUCAAGUCUACCCAGUGCUCUAAGGUCUUGGGACUGAAAAAAACACACAAAAAGAUUUUGUUGGGCCACAGCUGCAACUGAAUGUUACUCAUUACAUUAUAAACCAAAGAAUCAGAAACCUCCCAAUCCUACCCUUCUCCACCCAAAAGAAAAGCCUGAUUCCUGAAAUGCUCAUUAAAAAAUGGAAUCCUUUUGGUUAGGUUGGCAUUGCUGUUGGAAAGAGGGUGAGUCAACCUAGGAGGACCAGCCCCAAACUUAUGCUUGGCAUUAACCUUUAUUGGAUUGAUCUGUGCAGGGCCUGGCCAGCAGUUUGCUGAGGGAAGGAGGCACCACAGAUGGGCAUCAAUGCUUCAAAGCCUGGAAGGAGAAAGCCCACAGGGAACGUUUGCACCUCCAGCACGUUUGUGCUCAAAGUGGUCCACAGUAGCAAUGCCCAUGUGGAAUCAGAAGCUCUUCCCACAGUGCUUUGUAAUUCACCUUUCUAUAACGCCGUGGGGAGUCCACUGAAAGAUCCAAACCUUCCUGCUGUCUCUGUUCGUACAUAGUAAUGGAGAAUUAAACGUCACUGAAAGCUUAGAGAUGAGGGGAAGCUGACUAAAUAUGCAAGCCCCUGAGGAAUGAAAAGAGAGGAGAGUCAUUUGGGUAAGUCUCUGGUUAGACAUCCCCUUAGCUCUCCUUGAGAAAGGGGUCACAUCGCCUCUGUGGGGGUGGGGGGGAACACUGUUGCAUUCACAUCAUCAGUCUGAAAUUGCAUACUUCUUCUGAGCAGAGUGGUUUCAAUUAAAAUGGGAGGUUAAGAAAAUCAGCAAAGAUAAUCAAGCAACAUUUGUCCUUUUACAUAACAGUGUUCUACAAAAAUCUCAAUUGAUUUCACUAAUUUAAAUGUCACAAAACAAUUAGCUUUGUUUUCUCAUCUGUCUCUUCCAGAGUGUGGGUGAAUCUUAAUUUUUUCUAAUUAUGUUUUUAGAGUGUUGAUAGUUCAACUACACAAUUAAUGUUGUUAUUACCACCGUUGUGGGUAAAAAAUGUCAUCUCCUGUCCAUUUUUUUUAGUUACAUGUGAGUUGUGGAGUGGAUGUGUAGGGUCAAAUGGGGGGGGGGGGCGAGUAGGAGGGCCUAAAGUUAGGUCCCCAAACUAGAGCAGCUUUGCCUCAGAAAGAGGACGUUUUACUCCACACUAAAUGUCCGAG